UACGAAGGGGGCGAGCGUUGUUCGGAAUUACUGGGCGUAAAGAGCGCGUAGGCGGUUCUUUAAGUCAGAUGUGAAAGCCCCAGGCUCAACCUGGGAAUUGCAUUUGAUACUGAAGGGCUAGAGUUUUGGAGAGGAUAGCGGAAUUCCCAGUGUAGAGGUGAAAUUCGUAGAUAUUGGGAAGAACACCAAUGGCGUAGGCAGCUAUCUGGCCACAAACUGACGCUGAGGCGCGAAAGCGUGGGGAGCAAAC
RNAcentral lists this ribosomal RNA (250 nucleotides) under uncultured bacterium. Its description in RNAcentral is "partial 16S ribosomal RNA". It matches the Rfam family "Bacterial small subunit ribosomal RNA", at positions 524 to 773 of the family's 1533-position model. The record is from RNAcentral.